Molecule: ribosomal RNA, 429 nt
Filed under: uncultured bacterium
Lineage: Bacteria
Description: bacterial SSU rRNA
Rfam family: Bacterial small subunit ribosomal RNA
Source: RNAcentral
CUAAGAAUCUUCCGCAAUGGGGGCAACCCUGACGGAGCGACGCCGCGUGGACGAUGAAGGCCGUAAGGUUGUAAAGUCCUUUUGCAGGUGAAGAAUAAGCCGGGGAGUGGAAAGCCCUGGUGAUGACGUUAGCCUGCGAAUAAGCCCCGGCCAAUUACGUGCCAGCAGCCGCGGUAAUACGUAUGGGGCAAGCGUUGUUCGGAGUUAUUGGGCGUAAAGGGCGUGUAGGGGGCUCGAGAAGUCUGGUGUGAAAUCGCAGGGCCCAACCCUGCGGGUGCGCUGGAAACUGACGGGCUUGAGUCCCGGGGGGGAAGCUGGAAUUCCUGGUGUAGGAGUGAAAUCUGUAGAGAUCAGGAAGAACACCGGUGGCGAAGGCGAGCUUCUAUUCGAGGACUGACGCUGAGGCGCGAAAGCGUGGGGAGCAAACAG